Molecule: ribosomal RNA, 443 nt
Filed under: uncultured bacterium
Lineage: Bacteria
Description: partial 16S ribosomal RNA
Rfam family: Bacterial small subunit ribosomal RNA
Source: RNAcentral
CCUACGGGAGGCAGCAGUGAGGAAUAUUGGUCAAUGGACGCGAGUCUGAACCAGCCAAGUAGCGUGAAGGAAGAAGGCCCUCGGGUUGUAAACUUCUUUUGUCAGGGACGAAACAAAUGACGGUACCUGACGAAUAAGCCACGGCUAACUACGGGCCAGCAGCCGCGGUAAUACGUAGGGGGAAAGCGUUAUACGGAUUUACUGGGUGUAAAGGGCGUGUAGGCGGGAGAGCAAGUCAGAUGUGAAAUUCAAGGGCUCAACCCUGGAACUGCAUUUGAAACUGUUUUUCUUGAGUGAUGGAGAGGCAGGCUGAAGUGCGUGGGUAGCGGUGAAAUGCGUAGAUAUACGGAGGAACACCAGUGGCGAAGGCGGCCUGCUGGACAUUAACUGACGCUGAGGCGCGAAAGCGUGGGGAGCAAACAGGAUUAGAUACCCCAGUAGUC